Molecule: long non-coding RNA, 1185 nt
Organism: Oxyura jamaicensis (ruddy duck)
Lineage: Eukaryota; Metazoa; Chordata; Aves; Anseriformes; Anatidae
Exons: 2
Source: RefSeq, a predicted model, not a curated record
UCAUGUCACGUUGCAGGUCUGUGGAACACCCUGGGAGGGGGACAAAGGAUGACUUUCUGAUAAAGUUUGAGGCUAGAAAUAAUUAGAUUUACAGGCAAUGAACACAGUGACCAAAAUCACAUGAACCUGUAGGACCGGUUUGGGCAUCUCUGUGCAUGUAAGGUAAUCAGACAAGUGGGUAUGAGGAAGCAAAUGAACAAGAGGUGGCAAUGGCCUGAGAAGAUAUCUACUGUUGAGUGAAGAUAAAACUUUAAAGAGAAUUAUCUAAACAAAAUAUUAAUGUGAACAGGUAAUUAGAAAACUGGAACUGAAGAAUACCAGAGCAAGAGCUUUCCUGAGUGGGGAGCAUGUUUGCCAAAAGGAACUUAGGGGAAGGUCUCUAACAGUGGUAAAGAAAAAUCUCUUUCUCUCCUGAAAUAGCAAGUGGGUUGGAACUUGAGCCCUAGGGAAGGAUCCACAAAGUAUCUUUUGUGACAUGGAAACAUUUCCUUUCUGAAAUUAAAGUUGUGUAGUUUGGUUAGUUGCUAGAUUACAUUGUACAAAGUCAGUUCCUUAAACAACUUCUUUUUGUGUUUAUACCAUUUUCACUCUGUCCCUAGUAAACCUUUUUCAUCCACAGCAAAAUCUGCUCUCUUUGCACGGAAGAGUCACUGCAUUCCCACAGGGAAAAGGUGCCAGGUGACCUCAAGAAAAGGAAAACAAAUUUGGCUUUAGCAUGCAAGCCUACCAACUCAGUCAAUAAGGCACAGACAAAGACUCCUGUGGCCCAAGCUGUGUUUUAGGGAGACCCAUUGUAGAGAAGUGCUUGCAGUAAUGCCUCCAAAACCAAGGCAGAAACAGUAGUAGAUGACAGGGCCAUGUAAGACUUAUUCCUGUAGAGGUAGACUGGGAAAAAAAUAUCAACUUUCAGGUUAAGAAAUGUUUAUUUUUCUCCUAGUUCCUCAUUAAAUCCCCUGGACUAAUUAAUAUGGAUCAUUUCACUUACAUUGCAUGUUACCAAUGAAAAUGUUCUACAUGACAGUAAACAAAAGUUCUGCACACAGGAGUGGAAAAGCAAAAUAACAAAGUCCAGGCCAAGGAGUUUGUGUCUUAGAGUAAUAAAUGGUGAAGCAAGAAAAACUCUUCAAUUUCAGAAUAUUUUCUUAUAUUUUUAGAAAUGAUAAACAUGUUGUACUCUGCUGUACU